CAAAAAAUAAUUUAAUUAGAAUAUUAAUUUUGGAGAUUAAAAGUAUAAUAAUAAUUUAAUUUAUUUUUUUGA
This 72-nucleotide transfer RNA is filed under the name Acropyga guianensis. RNAcentral's name for it is "tRNA-Pro". The record is from RNAcentral. Lineage: Eukaryota; Metazoa; Arthropoda; Insecta; Hymenoptera; Formicidae.